RNAcentral lists this ribosomal RNA (28 nucleotides) under Xerocomellus sp. 'diffractus'. RNAcentral's name for it is "partial 28S ribosomal RNA". Lineage: Eukaryota; Fungi; Basidiomycota; Agaricomycetes; Boletales; Boletaceae. The record is from RNAcentral.
CUUGACCUCAAAUCAGGUAGGACUACCC